GAAACAUACCCGCAAACAAAGAACAUGCCAGUACUGUGGUACAGAGCAUGAGUUCGACAACCGGAAGAAAUGUCCUGCAUUCGGUACACACUGCAAAGCAUGUGGAAAACUUAACCACUGGGAAAAAAUGUGCAGACAAGGAAAGUCUAA
Octopus sinensis (East Asian common octopus) is the source of this 150-nucleotide long non-coding RNA. RefSeq lists it as uncharacterized. The record is from RefSeq and is a predicted model, not a curated record. The transcript has 3 exons. NCBI's taxonomy places the organism in Eukaryota, Metazoa, Mollusca, Cephalopoda, Octopoda, Octopodidae.